Molecule: transfer RNA, 72 nt
Filed under: Sus scrofa (pig)
Lineage: Eukaryota; Metazoa; Chordata; Mammalia; Artiodactyla; Suidae
Rfam family: tRNA
About the family: Transfer RNA (tRNA) molecules are approximately 80 nucleotides in length. Their secondary structure includes four short double-helical elements and three loops (D, anti-codon, and T loops). Further hydrogen bonds mediate the characteristic L-shaped molecular structure. tRNAs have two regions of fundamental functional importance: the anti-codon, which is responsible for specific mRNA codon recognition, and the 3' end, to which the tRNAs corresponding amino acid is attached (by aminoacyl-tRNA synthetases). tRNAs cope with the degeneracy of the genetic code in two manners: having more than one tRNA (with a specific anti-codon) for a particular amino acid; and 'wobble' base-pairing, i.e. permitting non-standard base-pairing at the 3rd anti-codon position.
Source: Rfam by way of RNAcentral
UCCCUUGUUGUCUAAGGGUUAGGACUCUGAGCUUUGACUUCUGUGGCCCAGGUUCAAUCCCUGGUCAGGGAA